RNAcentral lists this long non-coding RNA (254 nucleotides) under Phoenix dactylifera (date palm). RNAcentral's name for it is "long non-coding RNA (PDAC_LNC021212)". Lineage: Eukaryota; Viridiplantae; Streptophyta; Magnoliopsida; Arecales; Arecaceae. The record is from RNAcentral.
ACGGUGGUAUCAGGUAGUCGAAUACAAGAUGGAGAGGUAUAAAUGGAAGGAGUAAAGUACUCCUUUAGCAGUUUGGGUUGUUCUUCAGCCAUCUCGACAAGUGGUGUAGAUCCUAUGGUUCUAUAGGUGCGAAUUUCGGCUCGAAGGGCCCUAAUAGAAUGCUCUAUUUCAGAAUCAAAAGGUACUAAUUCAGAAGAUCUGGAACGACACCCUAGCAUACACUAAAGCUUGUUGGAUCAGUCAAGUACAAUCAA